This 491-nucleotide long non-coding RNA is filed under the name Olea europaea (common olive). RNAcentral's name for it is "long non-coding RNA (OEUR_LNC012779)". The record is from RNAcentral. Lineage: Eukaryota; Viridiplantae; Streptophyta; Magnoliopsida; Lamiales; Oleaceae.
GAGAGAGAGAGAGAGAGAGAGAGAGAGAGAAUUCUGUGAUCUUCAAAUUGUGAGAGAAAAACAAAAAAGGUGAUUGCCAUUAUUGCCAUUAGAAAGUCAUAAAAGGUGACUAUUGGAUUUUCAUAUAUAUACGCACAACCCGAGCAGGAAGAGGUAGACUAGAAGAGAAGAAAAUAAAUGCAGUGGCUGUGGAAGAAAGUUGGGACUGUGAAUAUUUCUUUCAAUUUUGGGUGUGGUGUCACACAGGAUUAUUUUUCUUCUCUACAUAAUACAAAUUGAAAUUUUCUCUAAGAUAUAUUUUGAAUUUGUAUUCAAAUUGGAUUCUCACAAGGUUGAUCAAAUUGUUAAUUUAUGGUGAGAUAAAUUGUUGUCUUAGAGAUAGAUUAUUGUGGUAUUUCCAAUUUGUGGAAAAUUCAAGUUUUUGGGGCAUAAACUUGAAUAUUGUAAUCUAUAUUAAUUAUUAUAGUGGAUUUUGGCCGGAGUUGCGUUUU